This is a non-coding RNA of Oryzias latipes (Japanese medaka), 114 nucleotides long. The record is from Rfam. Lineage: Eukaryota; Metazoa; Chordata; Actinopteri; Beloniformes; Adrianichthyidae.
GUAGGCUACGGAGACAUGUGUCCCAUUACUGUGGCGGGUAAGAUUGUUGGCACCUUGUGUGCAAUAGCAGGUGUAUUGACGAUAGCGUUGCCUGUUCCUGUCAUUGUUUCAAAC